GACGAACCGUCCGAACGUUAUUCGGAAUUACUGGGCCUAAAGCGCGUGUAGGCGGGCCGGCACGUCGGACGCUGAAAUCCCCCGGCUUAACCGGGGAAGUGGCCCCGAUACGACCGGCCUGGAGGGGUGUAGGGGGGACGGGAACUCACGGUGGAGCGGUGAAAUGCGUUGAGAUCGUGAGGAACGCCCGUGGCGAAAGCGCGUCCCUGGACAUCACCUGACGCUGAGACGCGAAAGCCAGGGGAGCGAACGGG
RNAcentral lists this ribosomal RNA (254 nucleotides) under uncultured bacterium. RNAcentral's name for it is "partial 16S ribosomal RNA". It matches the Rfam family "Bacterial small subunit ribosomal RNA", at positions 524 to 776 of the family's 1533-position model. The record is from RNAcentral.